UGGGGAAUAUUGCACAACGGGCGGAAGCCUGAUGCAGCGACGCCGCGUGAGGGAUGACGGCCUUCGGGUUGUAAACCUCUUUCAGCAGGGACGAAGCGUAAGUGACGGUACCUGCAGAAGAAGCGCCGGCCAACUACGUGCCAGCAGCCGCGGUAAGACGUAGGGCGCGAGCGUUGUCCGGAUUUAUUGGGCGUAAAGAGCUCGUAGGCGGCUUGUCGCGUCGACUGUGAAAUCUCAGGGCUCAACUCUGACAUUGCAGUCGAUACGGGCAGGCUAGAGUCCGGUAGGGGAGACUGGAAUUCCUGGUGUAGCGGUGAAAUGCGCAGAUAUCAGGAGGAACACCGAUGGCGAAGGCAGGUCUCUGGGCCGAUACUGACGCUGAGGAGCGAAAGCGUGGGGAGCGAAC
Molecule: ribosomal RNA, 406 nt
Filed under: uncultured bacterium
Lineage: Bacteria
Description: bacterial SSU rRNA
Rfam family: Bacterial small subunit ribosomal RNA
Source: RNAcentral